RNA transcript from Zootoca vivipara (common lizard), 3060 nucleotides. It is a transcript of the gene named methyltransferase 22, Kin17 lysine, with no coding region annotated. The record is from RefSeq and is a predicted model, not a curated record. NCBI's taxonomy places the organism in Eukaryota, Metazoa, Chordata, Lepidosauria, Squamata, Lacertidae.
GAGGGCAAAAUGCAAAAUGGCUGCAGCGGCGUCAACGAGGCUGCCGCGAGAGCGGAGAUGCUCCCUUCAGCAGUGCACCAUACAAGGUGCAGGGGGGAAAGAGGUGAUGGAUGACAUUGUUUUCCGAAGUGACACUGUCCUAUCUGAUGUCCACCUACACACCCCAAGCAAAAGGCAUUUAAUGGUCAGGCUGAAUGCUGUUGGACAGCCAGUGUUUCUCUCACAGUUCAAAUUCCUUUUGGACAAAAGCAAUCAGAAGACUGAGAGGGAAGUGAGUGGCUUUGAAAAAGAAAACCUUAAACACCGGGACGAAUGUGGAGAGGGAUUAGAUGUGGAGGAUCCUGCUGGUGACCACGUUACUCUGAAAACCACUAACAAGGAAGAGAACUCUUUGAAAGGAAUUGAAGCUUUGUUAGACGAAGAUGGGGAUUUGGAGGUUGUCCGGAAGCCUCCGUUACUUGAUGCAGAAGCUGAAGACCUUUCAAGGGACAAAGUGUGCCCCAUCAUUUUGAUGAAAGGUGGAGAAGUCUUGGAAGAACAAGAGCAAGAAAACAAUUGCUAUGAUAUUAUUAAAAUAGAGCACGCCAUGGCAACCCCUUUAGAAGAUGUUGGCAAACAGGUCUGGCGAGGAGCCUUCUUACUUGCAGACUACAUCCUCUCCAAGCAAGAUUUGUUUAAGGACUGCACAGUGCUGGAGCUUGGGGGCGGCACCGGGAUUGUCAGUAUCAUCAUGGCAAAGGCAGCCAAGGCCGUCUAUUGCACAGAUAUUGGUGAAGAUCUCCUGGAAAUGUGUGAACGAAAUAUUGCAUUAAACAAGCACCUUGCUGAGCCAGCAGGAACUAAGAUUAAGGUCAGAGUGCUGGACUGGCUUAAAGAUGAGUUCUGUAUUGAUCCUGAUCAUUCCUACAGCUGGUCUGAAGAAGAGAUUGCAGAGCUUCACGAUUUCACCACUGUGAUCCUAGCUGCUGAUGUAUUUUAUGACGAUGAUCUAACAGAUGCCUUUUUCAAAACGCUGUAUCGAAUCACUGGCAACUUGAAAAACCCCUCCACCAUCUACUUGUCAAUAGAAAAGAGGCUCAACUUCACCUUAAGACACAUGGAUGUUGUAUGUGAAGCAUACAGUUACUUUCGAAGCACCUUGAAUGAUCUAGAAAAUAUCAGAGAUGGCAAAAUAAGAUAUACUGUUCAGCCUGUCCAACUCUCCUUUCCUCAGCAUAUUAUUUAUGAGCGGGUUGAGCAGUUGGAGUUAUGGAAGAUUACAGCUGACAUGACCACUGAAAGAAGCACACACACAACUCUCCCUGAGAGGUUGAAAACCGGACAUGGGGACUUCAGUACAGAAUAAUUUCCCUGUAGGGUUCUGUCUGAAUAAUUAUCUGAAUGGAGCCAGGACCCAAACAGAUCCUGGCGUGGAGAAGUCCAAGAAGUUCCAAUCCCUAGGUACUGGUCAACCUGCUCAUCUCAUUUCUGAGAAUUCGCUGCUCAUUACCUACCUUUGGAGACACUCGGCGUACUGAUUUCUAUGUCCAGGAACAAAUUCCUGUGCAGUGAAGCAGCCCUCCCUGGGCAGGCGCACCCCAGGGACUCCUGCUUGGAAGUUCACAGGAAUCCUACUUGGAAGAAAUGGGGCUGUAAGUGAGCCAGUAAACUCUGUGGGGCAUCAAGAGGCUCCAUCUACCUUAGAGCCUGCCAGCAGAGUUGAAGACGAAAAACUGGUGAAGCGGGUUGGGAAAUCAGGAACUGGAAUGAACAAAGUUGGACUUUUAAUGGUAGUGGAGCAAAAACCAGGUUCCAAUUCAAAUUGAGUCAUGAAACGUGGGCCAGUCACUCUCUCUCAGACUAUCCUACCUCACAGGGUGGUUGUGAAGACAGUGUUGGGUGUAUGUGUGAGAGAGAACAAUGUACGAUGCCUUGAACUCCUUUUAGCAAAGAACAAUAUACCGGUAAUGUAUAUAGUACAAAUGCAAGCAAUGGACAAGGUUUGGUCUAUUGUUGGCUCCUAGCCACAGUGUUUAUGCUCUGCCUCUCUGGUCAGAAGCAGUAAUGCUUCUGAAUGCCAGUUGCUGGAAACCACAGGAGAAGAGAGUGCCCUUGUUCUUGGAUUCUGCUUGAAGGUUUCCUAUAGGCAUUCUGGUUGGCCACUGUGAACAGGAUGCUAGGCGAGAUGGGUCAUUGGCCUGAUCCACCAGGCUGCUCUUAUGUUAAUAACCAUAGCAACAGCCAAUGAGCAAUCCCUAAGGACAAAUAAAAUUACGGUACUCUGUAUGAAGAUAGGUGCAUCUUCAUACUGUCACCAUAUAUUUGCUAGGCCAGCCUCCUGGAAGCCCAAAACAGCACCCCUGGCCUAGGAGGAAGAGAGAAACGACUGACAUCCAAUAUUAUGCAGCACAAUCAUGGAAUAUGCAAAACCUGGUUGCAUGCUUCAUUCUGACUAAAGAAUGACACAAGUCAAUGUGAGGAGCAUAUCAAGGCAAUGUGCAUUUCAAACCCUUCUGAAAACUCGUUGUUAGCCAACAGAAGGAGGACAGCUCUGGACUCGUCACAAUCUUAGGUAUUUAUUUAUUUCAGGUGUUUAUAUGCUGCUUAAUAUUCCGAAUUUCGAAGCAGUGUACAUAAAAUGGGGUUGUUGUUGUUGUUUUAAGUAAAAAGAAUAAGAACUAUUAAUAUUCACUUCUUGUGGAAGCAGAAAACUACCUGAAAAUACCUGCUGUCAAAUCAAGCGCCUGAAGUUCAGCAGGGAGGGGUCUUGUCUAACCUCAUCUGGGAGGGAGUUGCACAGGAUUGGCCCCAGAACGCCGAAUGCAUGGCUUCUGGUCAUUACAGGGCAAGCAUCCGAACCAUGGGGGCUACAGAGACACUGAAGUUAUCUGUGAUCAGACAGAGAUAUAAGGGAUCGGGUGGUUCUUAAGGUAUUGGGGACCCAAGUUGUUAAGGCCUUGUAAAUUAAUAAAAUUGAGAUAUUAAUUGCUUUUCCUAGCAAUUCAAAGCAACUUCCAAAAUGACCCAAAAACAAAUAAACCCACAUACAUGCCUUAAAACCGGGGGGCGGGGGAGCAGUAU